This 318-nucleotide long non-coding RNA is filed under the name Ananas comosus (pineapple). RNAcentral describes it as "long non-coding RNA (ACOM_LNC042574)". The record is from RNAcentral. Lineage: Eukaryota; Viridiplantae; Streptophyta; Magnoliopsida; Poales; Bromeliaceae.
AAUUUUUUUUUUUUUUUGAAAAGCCUGACCCCAGAGUAUGCCAGAUCCGCCACAAACAUAGGGAAUCCACUGUUCACACGGAUAGAGUCUCCCCUGUAUUUGCACGGCGUCACACAAGUACAAGAAGUAACCCAGGUACAACCACAACCAAAUGAACAUACAAAUAACCAACAACUAUAUAUUCAUAUACCAUUCACAUCACAGGUUCACAUUUAUAUAAUCGAUAUUUAAACAUAAAUCCACAGAAAACCUUUUGAAAACAGUUUCCUACACGGAAACCUUUAUUCUUUAAAAAUGCUACCACGAGGGGUAGAAAAU